CGAUACAGGGUGACAGCCCCGUACACAAAAAUGCACAUGCUGUGAGCUCGAUGAGUAGGGCGGGACACGUGGUAUCCUGUCUGAAUAUGGGGGGACCAUCCUCCAAGGCUAAAUACUCCUGACUGACCGAUAGUGAACCAGUACCGUGAGGGAAAGGCGAAAAGAACCCCGGCGAGGGGAGUGAAAAAGAACCUGAAACCGUGUACGUACAAGCAGUGGGAGCACAGAGCAAUCUGUGUGACUGCGUACCUUUUGUAUAAUGGGUCAGCGACUUAUAUUCUGUAGCAAGGUUAACCGAAUAGGGGAGCCGAAGGGAAACCGAGUCUUAACUGGGCGUUAAGUUGCAGGGUAUAGACCCGAAACCCGGUGAUCUAGCCAUGGGCAGGUUGAAGGUUGGGUAACACUAACUGGAGGACCGAACCGACUAAUGUUGAAAAAUUAGCGGAUGACUUGUGGCUGGGGGUGAAAGGCCAAUCAAACCGGGAGAUAGCUGGUUCUCCCCGAAAGCUAUUUAGGUAGCGCCUCGUGAAUUCAUCUCCGGGGGUAGAGCACUGUUUCGGCAAGGGGGUCAUCCCGACUUACCAACCCGAUGCAAACUGCGAAUACCGGAGAAUGUUAUCACGGGAGACACACGGCGGGUGCUAACGUCCGUCGUGAAGAGGGAAACAACCCAGACCGCCAGCUAAGGUCCCAAAGUCAUGGUUAAGUGGGAAACGAUGUGGGAAGGCCCAGACAGCCAGGAUGUUGGCUUAGAAGCAGCCAUCAUUUAAAGAAAGCGUAAUAGCUCACUGGUCGAGUCGGCCUGCGCGGAAGAUGUAACGGGGCUAAACCAUGCACCGAAGCUGCGGCAGCGACACUGUGUGUUGUUGGGUAGGGGAGCGUUCUGUAAGCCUGUGAAGGUGUGCUGUGAGGCAUGCUGGAGGUAUCAGAAGUGCGAAUGCUGACAUAAGUAACGAUAAAGCGGGUGAAAAGCCCGCUCGCCGGAAGACCAAGGGUUCCUGUCCAACGUUAAUCGGGGCAGGGUGAGUCGACCCCUAAGGCGAGGCCGAAAGGCGUAGUCGAUGGGAAACAGGUUAAUAUUCCUGUACUUGGUGUUACUGCGAAGGGGGGACGGAGAAGGCUAUGUUGGCCGGGCGACGGUUGUCCCGGUUUAAGCGUGUAGGCUGGUUUUCCAGGCAAAUCCGGAAAAUCAAGGCUGAGGCGUGAUGACGAGGCACUACGGUGCUGAAGCAACAAAUGCCCUGCUUCCAGGAAAAGCCUCUAAGCAUCAGGUAACAUCAAAUCGUACCCCAAACCGACACAGGUGGUCAGGUAGAGAAUACCAAGGCGCUUGAGAGAACUCGGGUGAAGGAACUAGGCAAAAUGGUGCCGUAACUUCGGGAGAAGGCACGCUGAUAUGUAGGUGAAGUCCCUCGCGGAUGGAGCUGAAAUCAGUCGAAGAUACCAGCUGGCUGCAACUGUUUAUUAAAAACACAGCACUGUGCAAACACGAAAGUGGACGUAUACGGUGUGACGCCUGCCCGGUGCCGGAAGGUUAAUUGAUGGGGUCAGCGCAAGCGAAGCUCUUGAUCGAAGCCCCGGUAAACGGCGGCCGUAACUAUAACGGUCCUAAGGUAGCGAAAUUCCUUGUCGGGUAAGUUCCGACCUGCACGAAUGGCGUAAUGAUGGCCAGGCUGUCUCCACCCGAGACUCAGUGAAAUUGAACUCGCUGUGAAGAUGCAGUGUACCCGCGGCAAGACGGAAAGACCCCGUGAACCUUUACUAUAGCUUGACACUGAACAUUGAGCCUUGAUGUGUAGGAUAGGUGGGAGGCUUUGAAGUGUGGACGCCAGUCUGCAUGGAGCCGACCUUGAAAUACCACCCUUUAAUGUUUGAUGUUCUAACGUGGACCCGUGAUCCGGGUUGCGGACAGUGUCUGGUGGGUAGUUUGACUGGGGCGGUCUCCUCCUAAAGAGUAACGGAGGAGCACGAAGGUUGGCUAAUCCUGGUCGGACAUCAGGAGGUUAGUGCAAUGGCAUAAGCCAGCUUGACUGCGAGCGUGACGGCGCGAGCAGGUGCGAAAGCAGGUCAUAGUGAUCCGGUGGUUCUGAAUGGAAGGGCCAUCGCUCAACGGAUAAAAGGUACUCCGGGGAUAACAGGCUGAUACCGCCCAAGAGUUCAUAUCGACGGCGGUGUUUGGCACCUCGAUGUCGGCUCAUCACAUCCUGGGGCUGAAGUAGGUCCCAAGGGUAUGGCUGUUCGCCAUUUAAAGUGGUACGCGAGCUGGGUUUAGAACGUCGUGAGACAGUUCGGUCCCUAUCUGCCGUGGGCGCUGGAGAACUGAGGGGGGCUGCUCCUAGUACGAGAGGACCGGAGUGGACGCAUCACUGGUGUUCGGGUUGUCAUGCCAAUGGCACUGCCCGGUAGCUAAAUGCGGAAGAGAUAAGUGCUGAAAGCAUCUAAGCACGAAACUUGCCCCGAGAUGAG
RNAcentral lists this ribosomal RNA (2466 nucleotides) under Escherichia coli. RNAcentral's name for it is "partial 23S ribosomal RNA". It matches the Rfam family "Bacterial large subunit ribosomal RNA", at positions 354 to 2808 of the family's 2925-position model. The record is from RNAcentral. Lineage: Bacteria; Pseudomonadati; Pseudomonadota; Gammaproteobacteria; Enterobacterales; Enterobacteriaceae.